UAUGUGAUCGUCUCUCGCAUAUCAAUAAGCGGAGGAAAAGAAACUAACAAGGAUUCCCCUAGUAACGGCGAGUGAAGCGGGAAGAGCUCAAAUUUGAAAUCUUAAAGGGUUUCCCUUUACGAAUUGUAGUUUAAAGAAGUGUUUUCUGUUGAGGUUUUGGUAAAAGUUCUUUGGAAUAGGACAUCAUAGAGGGUGAGAAUCCCGUAUUUGACCUUUACUUUCAACUUUGUGAUACACUUUCAAAGAGUCGGAUUGUUUGGGAAUGCAGUCCAAAAUGGGUGGUAAAUUUCAUCUAAAGCUAAAUAUUGGCGAGAGACCGAUAGCGAACAAGUACCGUGAGGGAAAGAUGAAAAGAACUUUGAAAAGAGAGUUAAACAGUACGUGAAAUUGUCAAAAGGGAAGCGUUUGACACCAGUGUUGUUUUUCUGAAAAUCAAUUAAAGAACUGUUUAUGCUAAGUUGUUUAGACUUUAUCAGCUAUCUGUUUAGUUUUGAGCUUUUCUUUAAUGCACUUUUCAGUUAACAAGUCAGCAUCAAUUUCUUUUGCUGUAAAAAAGCUUGAGGAAGGUGGCUUGAGAUUCGUCUUAAGUGUUUAUAGCCUCUUGCCUAUGCAGUCGGAGAGAUUGAGGUCUGCAGCGUAGAUCCUUCGGGGCUAAAUGCAUUUGUGCUAAGUUAUAGCAUUUUAUAGACAACUUGUUGACUAUGAUUUGUCUUGUAGCUUACUCGCUUAUGUUAUUUUACCUACGCUUAGGAUGUUGAUCUGUAGUGCGUGCGC
Molecule: ribosomal RNA, 774 nt
Filed under: uncultured Neocallimastigales
Lineage: Eukaryota; Fungi; Neocallimastigomycota; Neocallimastigomycetes; Neocallimastigales
Description: partial large subunit ribosomal RNA
Rfam family: Eukaryotic large subunit ribosomal RNA
Source: RNAcentral